RNAcentral lists this ribosomal RNA (309 nucleotides) under uncultured eukaryote. RNAcentral's name for it is "partial 18S ribosomal RNA". It matches the Rfam family "Eukaryotic small subunit ribosomal RNA", at positions 1470 to 1796 of the family's 1831-position model. The record is from RNAcentral.
CCCUUAGAUGUUCUGGGCGGCCCGCGCACUACACUGGCGCUCUCAAUCAGAGCCUGGAUCUAACACUUUGGGGUAUUCUAUGAAGUGGUGUCGUGACUGGGAUUAACCCUUGCAAUUAUUGGUUACGAACGAGGAAUUCCUUGUAAUCGCGGUUUAUCAGCCCGCGUUGAAUGCGUCCCUGCCCUUUGUACACACCGCCCGUCGCUCCUACCGAUGGAUCGUCCGGUGAAGCUCAUGGAGGGGCGGUUGUCUCAGCUGCCGUCGAAGUGAAAUGGACCUCACGAUCUAGAGGAAGGAGAAGUCGUAACA